CAGCAGCCACGGUAAUACGUAGGUGGCAAGCGUUGUCCGGAAUUAUUGGGCGUAAAGGGCUCGCAGGCGGUUUCUUAAGUCUGAUGUGAAGGCCCCCGGCUCAACCGGGGAGGGUCAUUGGAAACUGGGAAACUUGAGUGCAGAAGAGGAGAGUGGAAUUCCACGUGUAGCGGUGAAAUGCGUAGAGAUGUGGAGGAACACCAGUGGCGAAGGCGACUCUCUGGUCUGUAACUGACGCUGAGGAGCGAAAGCGUGGGGAGCGAACAGGAUUAGAUACCCCAGUAGUCCCUGUCUCUUAUAA
RNAcentral lists this ribosomal RNA (301 nucleotides) under uncultured bacterium. Its description in RNAcentral is "partial 16S ribosomal RNA". It matches the Rfam family "Bacterial small subunit ribosomal RNA", at positions 509 to 809 of the family's 1533-position model. The record is from RNAcentral.